AGUUUUCGAAUUUUCUAAAAAUAUGGUGGUGUAGGGAGCAAUGUGGGAUGGUGUAGGGAGUAAUCCUCUAAUUAUAGUCACUUUAAUCACUUCAAGCAAAAGAAUGCAAUGAAACUUCAUAAAUUGAAUGAUCAAGUCCAAAGAAGAAAAUUGAAAAUAAGAAAAACUUCUUUCAACCAUGCCCAUAACUGUAUAACAAUAGAAUAAUGAAAGAAAAAAUGGGAGAAAACUUCAAGAUUAUUAUUACACAAAUAACACAGAGUAUAAAAUCACUAUUUUUUUUGGACAUUCAAAUCAAUAAGUAAAUGACCACACAAUAAUUUCCAAAGAACCAAAGUUUUAGUUGAUGGCCCUUCAUCCAACUAAAUUAAGUUCUCUCAAUCCACACAUUCCAUACCCUAAGAGUAAAAAAAUAUUUGUAACUUUUUGAGAAAGCACAAAACUAUCAUCCAAAAUCCAAUUAGGGAUAUCCUCGUCCUCAUUAACCAUUAAAGAAGAAAAAUCAUAUAGAUUGACAACAAAAGAAAAAAAUUUUCAGUAAGUACUUGUCGAGCCCGAACUAACAAGAGAGUAUAACCUUAUCCUAUUAAAAUAAAGAAUUCUAUAGUUAGGCAAAUGUAAGAAUACCAAUAAUUGUUUCAAAGAUUAAUACAAUAACCUUUACCUAAUGAACAAAAAGUAUUUUCAAGAACAACAUCAUAUAUUCUUAAUAUCAUGCCACAUUGACGAUGAUUUAAAUAACAUAUAUUUCUAAUACUUAAAAAUCGAAUACACGUCAAUUUAGUUCAAAUCAUUUCAAACUCUCAUGCUAAACCUAACAAUAAAUUUUGUUCUCUAAAUAAAUAUUAAAAAUAUAAAUUUUUACCUAUUAGUAUUUUAAAGAUGGAUUUUCUUACUUUUCCAAUCAUCAACCCAAUAAAAUAAUCUAACACAUCUAUUAAGAAUUCUACUUAUAUUUAAAUAU
Molecule: long non-coding RNA, 964 nt
Filed under: Vigna radiata
Lineage: Eukaryota; Viridiplantae; Streptophyta; Magnoliopsida; Fabales; Fabaceae
Description: long non-coding RNA (VRAD_LNC014945)
Source: RNAcentral